This 465-nucleotide ribosomal RNA is filed under the name Vreelandella stevensii. RNAcentral describes it as "partial 16S ribosomal RNA". It matches the Rfam family "Bacterial small subunit ribosomal RNA", at positions 338 to 795 of the family's 1533-position model. The record is from RNAcentral. Lineage: Bacteria; Pseudomonadati; Pseudomonadota; Gammaproteobacteria; Oceanospirillales; Halomonadaceae.
CCUACGGGCGGCUGCAGUGGGGAAUAUUGGACAAUGGGCGAAGGCCUGAUCCAGCCAUGCCGCGUGUGUGAAGAAGGCCUUCGGGUUGUAAAGCACUUUCAGUGGGGAAGAAAGCCUUGGGGCUAAUACCCUCGAGGAAGGACAUCACCCACAGAAGAAGCACCGGCUAACUCCGUGCCAGCAGCCGCGGUAAUACGGAGGGUGCGAGCGUUAAUCGGAAUUACUGGGCGUAAAGCGCGCGUAGGCGGUCUGAUAAGCCGGUUGUGAAAGCCCCGGGCUCAACCUGGGAACGGCAUCCGGAACUGUCAGGCUAGAGUGCAGGAGAGGAAGGUAGAAUUCCCGGUGUAGCGGUGAAAUGCGUAGAGAUCGGGAGGAAUACCAGUGGCGAAGGCGGCCUUCUGGACUGACACUGACGCUGAGGUGCGAAAGCGUGGGUAGCAAACAGGAUUAGAUACCCCUGUAGUC